CGUGGGUAACCUGCCCAAGAGAUCGGGAUAACACCUGGAAACAGAUGCUAAUACCGGAUAACAACAGAUGAUGCCUAUCAACUGUUUAAAAGAUGGUUCUGCUAUCGCUCUUGGAUGGACCUGCGGUGCAUUAGCUAGUUGGUAGGGUAACGGCCUACCAAGGCGAUGAUGCAUAGCCGAGUUGAGAGACUGAUCGGCCACAUUGGGACUGAGACACGGCCCAAACUCCUACGGGAGGCAGCAGGC
Molecule: ribosomal RNA, 246 nt
Filed under: uncultured Lactobacillus sp.
Lineage: Bacteria; Bacillati; Bacillota; Bacilli; Lactobacillales; Lactobacillaceae
Description: partial 16S ribosomal RNA
Rfam family: Bacterial small subunit ribosomal RNA
Source: RNAcentral